RNAcentral lists this long non-coding RNA (1445 nucleotides) under Lotus japonicus. Its description in RNAcentral is "long non-coding RNA (LJAP_LNC001923)". The record is from RNAcentral. Lineage: Eukaryota; Viridiplantae; Streptophyta; Magnoliopsida; Fabales; Fabaceae.
UCCAAACAUAUAUCACUUCAUUUUCAACUCACUUAUACUAUCGUCAAUUUUUCUAAAAUCAAUUGUGACAACGAUGAUCCAAACAUGCACGAACAUGGUCCAUCAACACUGAUCUAUUCCUUGUAAACCAACAACACUUGCCCAUUUGCUCAAAAAAACUUCAAUCCGCUACCCAACUAGCUUUCCGCCAUGACUUAAUCCAAUCCAAAAGCCAACCUAAUCCUAGUGAUACGACAAUUGCCUAACAGUCCUAGCCCAGUCAUCAUGCAAAUUUAGUACAGGUUAGCAUUACACAUAACAUAACUAAGCAAAAUAUUACCAAAAUAAACAUCAAGGUCAAGCUAACACCUUUCCCGCUAAAUAUUAAGGCACACAAUAUAAUCUGCUAAACAAUAUGAUUGACCCCAAUAUAGCACUCACUAAUAGACUGUCUGCACUAUCAUCACACAUGCCGCAGUGUGCAAUAGAAAGUGGUUUUUUUUUUUGUCAAACACAUAUACAGUGAAUAACUUCCAUAACUCCUCCCAACUAAUUUACCCAUUUUAACUUAGUGCAUGUUUGGAAAUUCUUCUACAGUUGACUCUAAAGGUAGAACAAAUUCUUGGAAGAAGCUUCUGUGAAAAAUAAGCUGAUUCAUAACAGAAUGUUCAAAACUUCAAAGAGAUGGGAGAUCUCCCCAGGACGGUUACCAGGAAAGAUCAACCUAGAGAACAAGGCAAAGAAGCGGAAAUAUAGAAUAGAAUCUAGUUGCCUGCUUUUGACACAAGUCAUGAAGAAAAAAUUGAAGGCAAUAGAAAAGCAUCAAAUUAAAGACAGACGUAUAAUGUAUUGGUCAUUCCACCAGAAUAGGCGAAUAGACAUUAGUCAGUAGAAAAGCAUAAUGUAAUUACCCAAAUCCAGGUUCUACAUAUAAAUCAUCAAGAGCAGAACAAAAGUACAAUGAGUUAUUGUGUUUUCAAUUGUAUGAAAAUUCCAUAUCCAACUUGCUAUGAACCUUACAUAAGGUUCACAAAGAAUAUUUGGCAACAAGGGAAACUAUGGAAACCAACAAAACACCUAGGAAACAACACAUGUUGAUCAUCCAACAUCAUGUAGUAAUAACACAUUGAUCAUCCAACACCAUGUAGUAAUGAUCAAUACUUCAACCUAGAUCAUUUUUUCUUCCUUAAUCACAAUUGCUAGUACUUAGAUUCUAAAAACCAGUCUAUGUACUCAAACUAUUGAUAAAUACAGCAAAUUAAAUUAAUCACCAUGUAAUUAUUAGAUAUUAAAUGAUAUAUUCUGUACAAUAUUUACAGUAAUUACCCAAUUGAACAAGGAAGCAAUAGCCAAUCACGACCCAACAAAGAAUUGAUUUGUUGAUCAGCUCAGAACUUCACCGAUUCAGCAAACCGGAGCCAAUCUGGCGGGAACUUUUUCCCUUUCAGAAUCCACAAUCGACCCAU